This 465-nucleotide ribosomal RNA is filed under the name uncultured bacterium. Its description in RNAcentral is "partial 16S ribosomal RNA". It matches the Rfam family "Bacterial small subunit ribosomal RNA", at positions 338 to 795 of the family's 1533-position model. The record is from RNAcentral.
CCUACGGGAGGCUGCAGUGGGGAAUAUUGCGCAAUGGGCGAAAGCCUGACGCAGCGACGCCGCGUGAGGGAUGAAGGUCUUCGGAUCGUUAACCUCUGUCAGCAGGGAAGAACGGUCACUGUGCUAAUCAGCAGUGAAUUGACGGUACCUGCAACGGAAGCACCGGCUAACUCCGUGCCAGCAGCCGCGGUAAUACGGAGGGUGCGGGCGUUAAUCGGAAUUACUGGGAGUAAAGCGGUCGUAGGCGGUAUGUCAAGUCAAGGGUGAAAUCCCCGCGCUCAACGUGGGAACUGCCUUUGAAACUGGCGAACUGGAGUGUGCGAGAGGCUAGUGGAAUUCGAGGUGUAGGAGUGAAAUGCGUAGAUAUCUGGAGGAACAUCAGUGGCGAAGGCGACUAUCUGGCACAUAACUGACGCUGAGGAGCGAAAGCGUGGGUAGCGAACAGGAUUAGAUACCCGGGUAGUC